CCCAGCGGAGCGGUCACACACCGGAGCGGGUGGAGGAGCGAGGAAAGGGCCGGGGCUAGCGAAGCCCGACCGUCUCCCUGCCUCCAUUCCAGCGCGGCUCCCGGCCGCCCCCCGCGGGUUUCCCACGGCCGCCAAGCGGGAACGAGCACGGGGCAAGGCGCCCAGACCCGAGUAAGGGAAGGGGCUCGGCUUCUACGGGGCAGGCGGGCCGCGGAGGGCUGGUGGAGUCCGCCGGGCGGCGGGGGCGGCCGGGCAGGCGGAGGGACGGAGCGGGGAUGCCCGCGGCCCUCCUGCCGCCGCCGGGCUGUGCGCGGGUGCCGCAGCCGUAGCCGUGCCUGCGGCAGGCGGCGGCCAUCGCAGGCUCGCCGCCCCCGUGCGCCCCUCCGAGGACGGAGGGGUGGGGGCAGAGGAGGCGGAGGAAGCGGCGGCGGCGGCGCCAGGAACAGGGAGGCGGCGGCACGGCGAGGGAGGGAGCCAGAGCCGAAGCCGAGCCGGGCCCCGCGAAAGCAACAGCAGAGCCAGCUCCUCCUUCUCCUCCUCCUCGGACUCUCAACCAGGUUUUUCAGACACGCCCACAGUCCACAGCCCCUUCUGUUUCAUGAGCACUCUGAAAAUCAAGACACAAGACAAACAACCCCUUUGAACAAAGCUUUCUGA
RNAcentral lists this long non-coding RNA (657 nucleotides) under Corvus moneduloides (New Caledonian crow). RNAcentral's name for it is "lncRNA (ENSCMUG00000019152.1)". The record is from RNAcentral. Lineage: Eukaryota; Metazoa; Chordata; Aves; Passeriformes; Corvidae.